Non-coding RNA from Mesocricetus auratus (golden hamster), 466 nucleotides. The record is from the annotation of a RefSeq genome assembly. Lineage: Eukaryota; Metazoa; Chordata; Mammalia; Rodentia; Cricetidae.
CACUGUUACUUUUUUCAACAUGCUAAGCAUCUAGAACAUUGUCUAGAUGCCACUAAAGAUGGACUCUUCCCUAGGCUUCGGGACUGUGAUACUCCUCAUACUCGCAAGAACCCAUGGAGACUCAGUGACACAGACGGAAGGUAAAGUGGCCCUCUCAGAAAAGGACUUUCUUACUAUUCACUGCAACUAUUCAGCCUCGGGGUACCCAGCACUGUUGUGGUACGUGCAGUAUCCCGGAGAAGGUCCACAGCUCCUUUUCAGAGUCUCGAAGGCCAACGAGAAGGGAAGCAGCAGAGGUUUUGAAGCUACUUAUGAUAGAGAAUCCACUUCCUUCCACCUGCAGAAAGCCUCGGUCCAAGAGUCAGACUCGGCUGUGUACUACUGUGCUCUGAGUGACACAGUGGCAGAAACCACAGGGAGAGCUGAACACAAACUCAGUACCAGGGGCCUGGCUGCUGAGCCUUAG